GGGUUGUGAGGUUAAGCGACUAAGCGUACACGGUGGAUGCCCUGGCAGUCAGAGGCGAUGAAGGACGUGCUAAUCUGCGAUAAGCGUCGGUAAGGUGAUAUGAACCGUUAUAACCGGCGAUUUCCGAAUGGGGAAACCCAGUGUGAUUCGUCACACUAUCAUUAACUGAAUCCAUAGGUUAAUGAGGCGAACCGGGGGAACUGAAACAUCUAAGUACCCCGAGGAAAAGAAAUCAACCGAGAUUCCCCCAGUAGCGGCGAGCGAACGGGGAGCAGCCCAGAGCCUGAAUCAGUGUGUGUGUUAGUGGAAGCGUCUGGAAAGGCGCGCGAUACAGGGUGACAGCCCCGUACACAAAAAUGCACAUACUGUGAGCUCGAUGAGUAGGGCGGGACACGUGGUAUCCUGUCUGAAUAUGGGGGGACCAUCCUCCAAGGCUAAAUACUCCUGACUGACCGAUAGUGAACCAGUACCGUGAGGGAAAGGCGAAAAGAACCCCGGCGAGGGGAGUGAAAAAGAACCUGAAACCGUGUACGUACAAGCAGUGGGAGCACAGAGCAAUCUGUGUGACUGCGUACCUUUUGUAUAAUGGGUCAGCGACUUAUAUUCUGUAGCAAGGUUAACCGAAUAGGGGAGCCGAAGGGAAACCGAGUCUUAACUGGGCGUUAAGUUGCAGGGUAUAGACCCGAAACCCGGUGAUCUAGCCAUGGGCAGGUUGAAGGUUGGGUAACACUAACUGGAGGACCGAACCGACUAAUGUUGAAAAAUUAGCGGAUGACUUGUGGCUGGGGGUGAAAGGCCAAUCAAACCGGGAGAUAGCUGGUUCUCCCCGAAAGCUAUUUAGGUAGCGCCUCGUGAAUUCAUCUCCGGGGGUAGAGCACUGUUUCGGCAAGGGGGUCAUCCCGACUUACCAACCCGAUGCAAACUGCGAAUACCGGAGAAUGUUAUCACGGGAGACACACGGCGGGUGCUAACGUCCGUCGUGAAGAGGGAAACAACCCAGACCGCCAGCUAAGGUCCCAAAGUCAUGGUUAAGUGGGAAACGAUGUGGGAAGGCCCAGACAGCCAGGAUGUUGGCUUAGAAGCAGCCAUCAUUUAAAGAAAGCGUAAUAGCUCACUGGUCGAGUCGGCCUGCGCGGAAGAUGUAACGGGGCUAAACCAUGCACCGAAGCUGCGGCAGCGACGCUUAUGCGUUGUUGGGGUAGGGGAGCGUUCUGUAAGCCUGCGAAGGUGUGCUGUGAGGCAUGCUGGAGGUAUCAGAAGUGCGAAUGCUGACAUAAGUAACGAUAAAGCGGGUGAAAAGCCCGCUCGCCGGAAGACCAAGGGUUCCUGUCCAACGUUAAUCGGGGCAGGGUGAGUCGACCCCUAAGGCGAGGCCGAAAGGCGUAGUCGAUGGGAAACAGGUUAAUAUUCCUGUACUUGGUGUUACUGCGAAGGGGGGACGGAGAAGGCUAUGUUGGCCGGGCGACGGUUGUCCCGGUUUAAGCGUGUAGGCUGGUUUUCCAGGCAAAUCCGGAAAAUCAAGGCUGAGGCGUGAUGACGAGGCACUACGGUGCUGAAGCAACAAAUGCCCUGCUUCCAGGAAAAGCCUCUAAGCAUCAGGUAACAUCAAAUCGUACCCCAAACCGACACAGGUGGUCAGGUAGAGAAUACCAAGGCGCUUGAGAGAACUCGGGUGAAGGAACUAGGCAAAAUGGUGCCGUAACUUCGGGAGAAGGCACGCUGAUAUGUAGGUGAAGUCCCUCGCGGAUGGAGCUGAAAUCAGUCGAAGAUACCAGCUGGCUGCAACUGUUUAUUAAAAACACAGCACUGUGCAAACACGAAAGUGGACGUAUACGGUGUGACGCCUGCCCGGUGCCGGAAGGUUAAUUGAUGGGGUUAGCGCAAGCGAAGCUCUUGAUCGAAGCCCCGGUAAACGGCGGCCGUAACUAUAACGGUCCUAAGGUAGCGAAAUUCCUUGUCGGGUAAGUUCCGACCUGCACGAAUGGCGUAAUGAUGGCCAGGCUGUCUCCACCCGAGACUCAGUGAAAUUGAACUCGCUGUGAAGAUGCAGUGUACCCGCGGCAAGACGGAAAGACCCCGUGAACCUUUACUAUAGCUUGACACUGAACAUUGAGCCUUGAUGUGUAGGAUAGGUGGGAGGCUUUGAAGUGUGGACGCCAGUCUGCAUGGAGCCGACCUUGAAAUACCACCCUUUAAUGUUUGAUGUUCUAACGUGGACCCGUAAUCCGGGUUGCGGACAGUGUCUGGUGGGUAGUUUGACUGGGGCGGUCUCCUCCUAAAGAGUAACGGAGGAGCACGAAGGUUGGCUAAUCCUGGUCGGACAUCAGGAGGUUAGUGCAAUGGCAUAAGCCAGCUUGACUGCGAGCGUGACGGCGCGAGCAGGUGCGAAAGCAGGUCAUAGUGAUCCGGUGGUUCUGAAUGGAAGGGCCAUCGCUCAACGGAUAAAAGGUACUCCGGGGAUAACAGGCUGAUACCGCCCAAGAGUUCAUAUCGACGGCGGUGUUUGGCACCUCGAUGUCGGCUCAUCACAUCCUGGGGCUGAAGUAGGUCCCAAGGGUAUGGCUGUUCGCCAUUUAAAGUGGUACGCGAGCUGGGUUUAGAACGUCGUGAGACAGUUCGGUCCCUAUCUGCCGUGGGCGCUGGAGAAUUGAGGGGGGCUGCUCCUAGUACGAGAGGACCGGAGUGGACGCAUCACUGGUGUUCGGGUUGUCAUGCCAAUGGCACUGCCCGGUAGCUAAAUGCGGAAGAGAUAAGUGCUGAAAGCAUCUAAGCACGAAACUUGCCCCGAGAUGAGUUCUCCCUGACUCCUUGAGAGUCCUGAAGGAACGUUGAAGACGACGACGUUGAUAGGCCGGGUGUGUAAGCGCAGCGAUGCGUUGAGCUAACCGGUACUAAUGAACCGUGAGGCUUAACCUUACAACGCCGAAGCUGUU
This 2933-nucleotide ribosomal RNA is filed under the name Escherichia coli. RNAcentral describes it as "bacterial LSU rRNA". It matches the Rfam family "Bacterial large subunit ribosomal RNA". Lineage: Bacteria; Pseudomonadati; Pseudomonadota; Gammaproteobacteria; Enterobacterales; Enterobacteriaceae. The record is from RNAcentral.